CCCUUAGAUGUCCUGGGCCGCACGCGCGCUACACUGAGUGUCUGAGAUACGAGUCUGCCUGGUCCGGCAAGGUCUAGGUAAUCGCUAAAAGACACAUCAUGCUUGGGAUAGAUUAUUGCAAAUAUUAAUCUUGAACGAGGAAUUCCUAGUAAGCGCAAGUCAACAGCUUGCGUUGAUUACGUCCCUGCCCUUUGUACACACCGCCCGUCGCUCCUACCGAUUGAAUGGUCCGGUGAAGCGUUCGGACCGUGGCCUUUGGACGGUUCGCCGUCUGUUGGCUGCGGGAAGUUCGUUAAACCUUAUCAUUUAGAGGAAGGAGAAGUCGUAACA
RNAcentral lists this ribosomal RNA (330 nucleotides) under uncultured eukaryote. RNAcentral describes it as "partial 18S ribosomal RNA". It matches the Rfam family "Eukaryotic small subunit ribosomal RNA", at positions 1470 to 1796 of the family's 1831-position model. The record is from RNAcentral.